GAUAACUGGCUUGUGGCGGCCAAGAGUUCAUAGCGACGUCGCCUUUUGAUCCUUCGAUGUCGUCUCUUCCUGUCAUUGUGAAGCAGAAUUCACCAAGCGUUGGAUUGUUCACCUACUAAUAGGGAACGUGAGCUGGGUUUAGACGUUAUGAGAUGGGUU
RNAcentral lists this non-coding RNA (159 nucleotides) under Oreochromis niloticus (Nile tilapia). RNAcentral describes it as "Eukaryotic large subunit ribosomal RNA". It matches the Rfam family "Eukaryotic large subunit ribosomal RNA", at positions 2825 to 2984 of the family's 3401-position model. The record is from Rfam by way of RNAcentral. Lineage: Eukaryota; Metazoa; Chordata; Actinopteri; Cichliformes; Cichlidae.